This 289-nucleotide small RNA is filed under the name Clostridium celatum DSM 1785. RNAcentral describes it as "5' ureB small RNA". It matches the Rfam family "5' ureB small RNA". The record is from Rfam by way of RNAcentral. Lineage: Bacteria; Bacillati; Bacillota; Clostridia; Eubacteriales; Clostridiaceae.
CCGCACAGCCUGGAUGAAUAUAGUGAACGUGAGUGUCUAUUCCUCCUGCUGUUAAUAUUCUUCCUUCUCCUGCUAAAGCUUCAGUUCCAACACCAACUACAAAGUCAACAUCAUCCAUUGUAUCUGGGUUGCCCCCUUUACCAAUAGCAAGUAUCUUUCCAUCUUUAAUUCCAACAUCUGCUUUAUAUAUCCCAGUAUAAUCAACUAUUGUUGCUCCUGUUAUAAUUAAAUCAGCAACUUCUGGGUUUUUAUUUGUUUGUGUGGCAUUUUGCCCCAUACCAUCUCUAAG